Apteryx rowi (Okarito brown kiwi) is the source of this 1793-nucleotide long non-coding RNA. Lineage: Eukaryota; Metazoa; Chordata; Aves; Apterygiformes; Apterygidae. The record is from Ensembl.
CUUCAGCGGUGGGUGCUCCUGGAGGAGGAGAUUCCAGCACCAGCUUGCCCUGAACUGAGAUGUGAAGAUGGGAGCUCUGUCUGUGCAAGUGAAGGGAGCGGUGUCUGCUCUGUUCUUGCGUUCAGCCUGCAACAGUCUCUGGGAUAUUGUAGCAGCCUGUUUAUUGAUGACCUGCUUUUCUGAAUGGUCGGCCACUGUUUUCGGGCAGAAUACAAGGAGGACUAAUAAUUGUAGAUGGAGCUGAUCUCCCAGUGUAAGAACGGCAUUGCUUGGAAGCCAGCAAAGCGGACAGGAACUUUAGCUGAAGACGGCCAAAUGCGUGAGUAUGGUGGGGAGGUGGGGAAGGACAGAUUCCCCUCCAGUGCCCAGCCUGGAUCUGUGCUGCCUUCGCUUCUUCAUUUUGACCUGUUGCAGGUGACUUAAUAAAUGUUGUCUCUCUCGUAAGGGCUGUCUUGUGUGGCUGCUCUCUGCUAAUGUUAUAGUUCUGCCUUCUCCGCACCCACUGGCUGCCCUCUCUGCCAUCCCGCAACUGUGAAGCUCCCACAACAUUGCUGUCACGUUGUUUUACUUGCACGUGUGUUCUUCCUCUACUCUGGCUCCAUCUUGCCUCCUUAGAUUAGAAGUCCCGCGGGGCCAAAGCUGACUGUCUGCUCUGUUGGUGUGGCGCUUGGCUUGCUGAGGCCCUCGGGCACUGUGGUAAUAAAUGUGAUGGUGCAUAGCAGGGUGGGGAGGGCCUGCUGCCUUAAUCUGGCUGAGAMACUGGAGCUCAGAGCCCUGGUCAGAGCUGGGGAGCUGCAGAGCUCCCUCCCUGCCAGGAGUGGAAACCUAGGACUGGUCGCUGGUAGGGUGCCCUCUUGAGACCGCCUAAAGGUAGCAGCUGUGUUCGUUCACUGAAUCAAAAACGUGGAAAAUCCAGACAGUGUCUUUCAGUUUUGCUGGCGUCAGAUCUUAGUCUUAAAUGUGUCAGAGGAUUUCUGGAGACUACCUAAGCUCUACAUGCAGUCAAAUCCAAUGGACCAUUAAAGCCUCAGGUACUUGGGAAGAAAAAGUAGCCUUUGGAAAAUUGCCAUGUGAAGAGAGGCCUAUGGAAGCGAGGAGGGCGUUGAGGGAUGCGUGUAAGAGCAGCGCUGGGGCUGACUUCCCUGGCGACUGGCUUGGCGCWCUGUCUGCUGGAAGGGAGUCCCAGGGCUACGGCCAGAAGUGCUCCGGGRCCGCCUAGCCUGGGCCGCGGCGAGACGAUCCCAUCUCUCGGGUGUGGAUCUUGAAAAGAGUUUUCAGUGUUUGUUAUUUAUGCGGUGCUGCAGCUUUUGUAGCGCAGCUUUUCCGGUGUGCUAGUGCCACUUGUGAAGAUGCGGUGCUGGGGUUAGCGCUGACUGUGGAGAGCAGCGGGGGGCUGCCGGCAGUAUCGUUGGGGACAUGGGACUGGCCAGUACAUACAAAACCACGGAUGAGCAUCAGCCCAGUGCGGUGCCUUUGGCUGUGUCCAGCUCCUGGUCCUUCAAAGGGAGGCACCGCAAGUAGCGGGAAGGAGCAAUGUAAGCCCCAUGUCGUGCCUUGAAGUGUGGUGGGUGCUGGAUCACUCACGACUGCACAGCUGCUGGCUCUUCUCUGCUGCGAGUGGCAGCACAGAAGAUGUCCAGGACGCUGCAGGAGAUACUCCUGCCAUUUCAGACUUGCCAGACAGUAAAUGUGAUGGUCAAAAUAAGACCCAGAGGACUUUCAGGUCCUGGGGUAGACACAGACUGUGGUGGUGAUCUGUGCUGUCUAGUUGCACGGGGGACCCCUGGAUAACG